AUAUAUUAUGUAGAAAAACUCAAAUGUAAACAAAUGUAUUAUUUUAAGAUGUUUAAAUGUGACGCAUGGUCAAUGUUUACCUGUAGGACAUGAUUUUUGACCCCGUACUGUCUACUGUCUAAUUACUGGAAAAUAUCUAACAUUUUAGAAAAAAAAAUCCUUCUUGAUCCUUCUAUCAUAAGUCAAUGGGAAUAUAACAAAACUCACCUUUAGAAAUACUCAAUUUAGAUCCUUUGUUCAUGAAAUCAUUCCACGUGUUAUCCUUCAAUCAUUCGAUCAUCUCAAUUUUCACGAGAUUAUGCCGAUCAAGGUUAAGGGUCAAUGAUUAAAUUAUAACCAACAUCGGAUAAUGAAUAGUACAACUUCCGUAUUUACGUUACAUUAUGAUGACCUCCACAUAACUAAGAACUUAGACAAAUUGUUAAAAUCAAUGUAUUGUAUUUAUGAUAACUAAUCAUAAUUAAUAUAUAUAUAUAUAUAUACAUAUAAAUAUAAAUUUACUGUAUAAUCUCCCUGGUUAAACAGUAACUAAUUCACAGGGAUACCCGGCUGAAUGCUGUGAGUCGAGUAAUUUGUUAAACAGCA
RNAcentral lists this long non-coding RNA (585 nucleotides) under Mytilus galloprovincialis (Mediterranean mussel). The record is from RNAcentral. Lineage: Eukaryota; Metazoa; Mollusca; Bivalvia; Mytilida; Mytilidae.